Molecule: ribosomal RNA, 432 nt
Filed under: Triticum aestivum (bread wheat)
Lineage: Eukaryota; Viridiplantae; Streptophyta; Magnoliopsida; Poales; Poaceae
Description: partial small subunit ribosomal RNA
Source: RNAcentral
AUGGCCACCGGAAGCUUCACACCUGCUUGUGUGUCUUGCAAAAAAGCAAGCUACCUGGUACCUCUCUACUCUGCUUUAGCAGGCGUUUGCAGAGGAAGCCAAGGGGUACAUGAUACUGGUGUAUUUGUUGGGUUCCUCUUGGCGUGUCGAACAAAAAUUGGCGUUCAGCACUGCUAUUUAAAGAUGGUAUCUAAGAAUGAUGAUGAUUACACUCGGAGCAAGCCUUGUUGCGGCGCUGCAAGUGUUGCCCUCCUCCUCCCCAAGGGCAAGGUGAAGGAAGGUGCCUGUGUGGUUCUUCUGCAGCUCGUAGCGAGGAUUGCUGUGUUCAACCUGCACAAGAAUGCCAAGAAGUCCUUCUCGGAGACGAUUAAGGACAUGUACCUGCACUACAACGAGAGAUCUGGGUUGCUUCUUUGUGGCUUCCAAACUUGA